GACAGCAUCCAUUGGAACUGGAUAAAAACGGAUUCAGACAAUUGAGAGAUAUGUAAUAUUUUAUUAUAUUUUAUUUAAUGUUUUAUUAAGUCGUAAUUUGCUCUGAAUGUGUAGAAAAAAACUUUAUUCAGCAAACUUUAUAUAAGUAGCAGCAGCUAAAAGACAAGAACAAGUUAACUAGUGUAGCAGCAGCCUGCAAAGCAAGUUAGUUUUAACCUCAGUUGCUUUUUUGUUGUUAUUAAUGAGAUAAAUUGAAGAUGAAACGGGUCUAGACUGAAGACUGAGGUUAUUUUGCUGAUGUGUGUGUUCAAUAUCUAAAGCUGAUGUCAUAUUUUUUCACUAAGCAGUGGAAGAAAUGUGACAGUCGUGUCAACAACAAACGGGCUUAUUUGCAGUUCUGGGGAAAUAAAUCAGGACACCAUGCAGUUUGAAAUACAACCAAAAUACUAAAUGAUCUUAAAGAAAAACAUUGAACUCUACAUUGAUUGGUUAUACAUUCUUAACAUAUUUAAGGUUGUUUCAGCACUUUUUUCCAGCGCUGUAUUUGCUCUGUGUUUUAAAUGCUGUUUAGAGACUUUUUUCUCUUAGAGAUUAAGGACUAGGCUUCAUUUUCACAGCUCACAUAUUUUAGACAAUAGGCAGACCAACCUGCAUUCAAAUGCCACAAAUGUUAGAGAUCCAAUGUGUUGAUUGUGCUAUUAAGUGUAAAAAGAACAUAAUUAUACAGAUUGUUGACACGUCCUUGUUUUCUAAACGUUUUUAAUGAAGUCAAAGUUGUUAUUUAAGGCGUCCCAGAGCCCCAGAAACACCUUAAAUUUGUACACUGAUUUAAACUCAAUUCAAUGAUUCCUCUUGAUAUUGUAGUUCUAGCUGCACGAAGUGAGUUGACUGACUGGUUGAUUGAAUGAUUGAUUGGUUGCAUGAUUGAGUGAUUGAAUUACAUUUCCUCCAGAGAUAUUAAGAGAAGAUGAAGAGAAGCAAAGAUCUUCAGAGCUUCUUCAGCUUCUACCAGCAGCAGCACAAAGGUCCACACAAGCCAGCAGCCUGGUGAUGAAGAUGAUGAGCCGUCCACUCCCCCAAUACAGGAUGUUGACCAGCAACACUUAGAGGAGGAAACUGGUUGUGAACCAACAUUGUCUGGAGCUCCACCUACUAAGCAGGCGACACUGAUGACAGAGAUCCUCCUAAUGUUGUACCUGCUGCUCCACCUGGACCUUACGGCUGCAGAGUCUGCUGAUAUAAACAUGCAUCAUGCAUUCAUGUUUUUCCUGAUAAACUGUGUAAAAUAAUGUGCACUACAUGUGGCAUCCCUGCUACUUCACACUUUGAGCUUGUUAAAUGUUUGAAGCUAAAUAUUUCUAGGAUAAAAGACAUCAUCUGGCAGAUUAGCUCAGAUUGCUUCAAAACUCUUCCAUGAUGAAGAGCAUUAGUGAAAACGAAGACUGGUCAUAGUUGGAAAGUGUUUUAGCUGUGAUCAAAUAGCUCCGUCUGUUAGAGGAUCUCCUGUAGUCUGUAGGGUCGGUUCUCUGAAGGUUCCUGAGGACCAACAAGCUGACAAGGAAAUGGAUCCAUAAAAAGUUUGAGACACAAGAGUGUCGACCUGUUGUUGGAGAUGAUGAUCUCAGAGUGGAAAGUUUGAACCAUGUUUCAUGUAUCAUGUGUGACCUGGUAGAUCAAGGUGUUGGUUAGUAUGAACUGCAUGGGCUUCAUCUAAAACCAACUGUGUCAGGGUUUAAACGCAGCAAACUGGAGGAAGGACAGACAGGGUAUGAAACACAGAAAACAUCUGAUUCAUGGAGACACUGAUCAAGAAUGAUCAUAUCUGUGCAGCGUCCCAACUCAGUUACCUUCUGCCACAACUAAUCUGUCCACUAGAGGGAGCACAGAUACUUCCACAGGUUCUGCUUCAAACGUAAAGAUGAAAUAACUGCAUUCAGUGUUAUUUGACUACUUUGUUAAAUCUUUGAAAAAAUAAAUGUCUGUUUUUA
Molecule: long non-coding RNA, 1988 nt
Organism: Girardinichthys multiradiatus
Lineage: Eukaryota; Metazoa; Chordata; Actinopteri; Cyprinodontiformes; Goodeidae
Exons: 4
Source: RefSeq, a predicted model, not a curated record